RNAcentral lists this ribosomal RNA (253 nucleotides) under uncultured bacterium. Its description in RNAcentral is "partial 16S ribosomal RNA". It matches the Rfam family "Bacterial small subunit ribosomal RNA", at positions 524 to 776 of the family's 1533-position model. The record is from RNAcentral.
UACGUAGGGGGCUAGCGUUGUCCGGAAUCAUUGGGCGUAAAGCGCGUGUAGGCGGUCCGGUAAGUCCGCUGUGAAAGUCGAGGGCUCAACCCUCGAAUGCCGGUGGAUACUGUCGGGCUUGAGUACGGGAGAGGCGAGUGGAAUUCCUGGUGUAGCGGUGAAAUGCGCAGAUAUCAGGAGGAACACCGAUUGCGAAGGCAGCUCGCUGGAACGUUACUGACGCUGAGACGCGAAAGCCAGGGGAGCAAACGGG